GGUAGCUCUUAUGAUGCUAAAUUUCCUUUGUGUUUUUUCUAGGCUUUUCUCUUUACCACAGAGAGAAAGUGCUAGAUCUUUCUUCUUCUCCAAAGAGGAUGAACGCCUAAGAGAGAGCCCUAAGUUAUUUUGUAAAUCAGUAGACCUCAGUGAA
Long non-coding RNA from Strigops habroptila (Kakapo), 154 nucleotides. RefSeq lists it as uncharacterized. The transcript has 2 exons. The record is from RefSeq and is a predicted model, not a curated record. NCBI's taxonomy places the organism in Eukaryota, Metazoa, Chordata, Aves, Psittaciformes, Psittacidae.